Molecule: long non-coding RNA, 1270 nt
Filed under: Heterocephalus glaber (naked mole-rat)
Lineage: Eukaryota; Metazoa; Chordata; Mammalia; Rodentia; Bathyergidae
Description: lncRNA (ENSHGLG00000041635.1)
Source: RNAcentral
CCCCGCCUAUCUGCCAGCGUCCGCACCAAUCAGGUGGCCUUGCCCCUGGAGGCCUGCCGGCACGUCCAACGCCCAUAGCACAGGCCUUUCCUUCCGGCGCCAAGCGCCUGCUGCUCCGCUGGCCGCGGGAGCCGGGCGAGCCAGUCCUUGUUGCUCCUGGGCCGGAGAGGUCUCCUGGGUUGGGAGGCGCAGGCCUGCCCCCGGAGGAGACGCGGGCGCCCCAGACGCCCGCCCUCCCGCCCGCGCUCGUCCUCCCGCCCGCGCUCGUCCUCCCGCCCGCGCUCGUCCUCCCGCCCGCGCUCGUCCUCCCGCCCGCGCUCGUCCUCCCGCCCGCGCUCGUCCUCCCGCCCGCGCUCGUCCUCCCGCCCGCGCUCGCCCUCCCGCCCGCGCUCGUCCUCCCAUCCGCCUGUUCCUCGGCGCGGGCUCCUGGCCGAGGAAACCGAAGCUCCAGUCAGCGGAGCAGCCGAGAUGGGGCGGGCGGGGUGUCGCCGGCCUGCGGGGCGUGUAGGGGAGCUGUGACGCUGGCGUGGGCGAGCGGACCGCUUCUUCCGUGAUAAGGAGUUGUCGGCUGAACCCAAGGGACAGAGCAGACUGUUUGAGAAAGAUGCUCCGAGCCGAGGGACCAGACUUGGUCUGGAAGGUCAGAUGGGGGCUUUGUCGCUACUGAGCUGAGGCCCCGUGGGAGCGGGCCCCCACCUCGAAGACCGCCUUGCUGGGAGCACUUUCGCUUUGGCGCAGAAUCAGCAGUGGCCACCGGGAUUGGAUCUUGAGAUGGUGGAGGAGAGCAGUCAGGACGCCUAAGUGUUAGCCCAGAGGACCGCAAGGAGGGCACCUGCACCAACCCGGGCGACCCGGUGGAAAGGAGCAGAGUUUGAAAAGUGCCACCCCAGGGACCCCGCCCUGGUGAUCUUGUCGAACCCUAGUGACCUCCCAGAGGCUCCACCUUCAAAUACCAUCAGUGCACAAAUUUGAGGACUAGAUUUCUAACAACUGAAGUUUGGAUGACGCAUUCGAACUAUGACAGAGGCUAAAACAACUUAAGUAGUGAUCGAGGGAAAGACACAAACAGAAGCCCUUGGAGACGGGCAGACGGGGCAAGAGCUUAAAAAAAAUCUGGAAAGGAAACUGAGGAAGCAGAAAGGCAAAGACUUGACAAAUGAGAGGAACAAGAGGAUGAGCCAGAGGAUCAGAUGCGGGAGCAGCCACGGAGUGAGAUGCAGGCUGUGAGGGAAAAGACAGAGAGGGAGCGGAGGGAGGAGACGAAGACAAA